AGUGGAAGUGGAGACAAUCGCAAGGUUAUUCUUGAGGAAAGUCCGGACUCCAUGGAGAAACGGUGCUUGGUAACGCCAAGCUGAGGUAACUCAAGGGAAAGUGCCACAGAAAAUAUACCGCCAAUUAAUUGGUAAGGGUGAAAUGGCGAGUUAAGAGCUCACCGCAUUUUUAGUAAUAAAAAUGGCAGGGUAAACCCCACCGGGAGCAAGACCAAAUAGGAAUGAAUUUAUUCUCCAUAUCUCAUUCGGGUUGGUUGCAUGAAAUUAAUAGUGAUAUUAAUUCUAGAUGAAUGAUUGUUUAAACAGAAUCCGGCUUACCCACUUCCAUUUAAA
Molecule: RNase P RNA, 333 nt
Filed under: Rickettsiales bacterium
Lineage: Bacteria; Pseudomonadati; Pseudomonadota; Alphaproteobacteria; Rickettsiales
Description: RNase P RNA component class A
Rfam family: Bacterial RNase P class A
About the family: Ribonuclease P (RNase P) is a ubiquitous endoribonuclease, found in archaea, bacteria and eukarya as well as chloroplasts and mitochondria. Its best characterised activity is the generation of mature 5'-ends of tRNAs by cleaving the 5'-leader elements of precursor-tRNAs.
Source: RNAcentral